Molecule: ribosomal RNA, 396 nt
Filed under: uncultured bacterium
Lineage: Bacteria
Description: bacterial SSU rRNA
Rfam family: Bacterial small subunit ribosomal RNA
Source: RNAcentral
AUUGAACGCUGGCGGCAUGCCUUACACAUGCAAGUCGAACGGCAGCACGGGGCAACCUGGUGGCGAGUGGCGAACGGGUGAGUAAUGCAUCGGAACGUGCCAUUGAGUGGGGGAUAACGUAGCGAAAGUUGCGCUAAUACCGCAUAUUCUGUGAGCAGGAAAGCAGGGGACCGGCAAGGCCUUGCGCUCUUUGAGCGGCCGAUGUCAGAUUAGCUAGUUGGUGAGGUAACGGCUUACCAAGGCGACGAUCUGUAGCGGGUCUGAGAGGAUGAUCCGCCACACUGGAACUGAGACACGGUCCAGACUCCUACGGGAGGCAGCAGUGGGGAAUUUUGGACAAUGGGCGCAAGCCUGAUCCAGCCAUGCCGCGUGAGUGAAGAAGGCCUCGGUUGUAAG